This 242-nucleotide ribosomal RNA is filed under the name uncultured bacterium. RNAcentral describes it as "partial 16S ribosomal RNA". It matches the Rfam family "Bacterial small subunit ribosomal RNA", at positions 8 to 244 of the family's 1533-position model. The record is from RNAcentral.
AGAGUUUGAUCCUGGCUCAGGACGAACGCUGGCGGCGCGCCUAACACAUGCAAGUCGAACGAGAGAGAAGGAGCUUGCUUCUUCGAUCGAGUGGCGAACGGGUGAGUAACGCGUGAGGAACCUGCCUCAAAGAGGGGGACAACAGUUGGAAACGACUGCUAAUACCGCAUAAGCCCCACGGAUUGGCAUCGAUCUGAGGGAAAAGGAGCAAUCCGCUUUGAGAUGGCCUCGCGUCCGAUUAG